Molecule: ribosomal RNA, 497 nt
Filed under: uncultured bacterium
Lineage: Bacteria
Description: partial 16S ribosomal RNA
Rfam family: Bacterial small subunit ribosomal RNA
Source: RNAcentral
GAUGAACGCUGGCGGCGUGCCUAAUACAUGCAAGUCGAGCGAACAGAUGAGGAGCUUGCUCCUCUGACGUUAGCGGCGGACGGGUGAGUAACACGUGGAUAACCUACCUAUAAGACUGGGAUAACUUCGGGAAACCGGUGCUAAUACCGGAUAAUAUAUUGAACCGCAGGGUUCAAUAGUUAAAGACGGUUUUGCUGGCACUUAUAGAUGUAUCCGCGCCGCAUUGGCUAGUUGGUAAGGUAACGGCUUACCAAGGCGACGAUGCGUAGCCGACCUGAGAGGGUGAUCGGCCACUGUGAAACUGAGACACGGUCCAGACUCCUAGGGGAGGCAGCAGUAGGGACGCUUGCGAAAUGGGCGAAAGACUGACGGAGCAACGCAGCGUGAGUGCUGAAGGUCUUCGGAUCGUAAAACUCUGUUAUUAGGGAAGAACGAAUGUGUCAGUAACGAUGCACGUCUUGACGGUACCUACUCAGAAAGCCACGGCUAACUACGUG